This 490-nucleotide long non-coding RNA is filed under the name Homo sapiens (human). RNAcentral's name for it is "HSALNT0240547". The record is from RNAcentral. Lineage: Eukaryota; Metazoa; Chordata; Mammalia; Primates; Hominidae.
GGAAGCGAAGCCGGAGCUGCGGGCGCUUUUUCUGCCCGCGGUGUCUCAGAUUCAUUCUUAAGGAACUGAGAACUUAAUCUUCCAAAAUGUCAAAAAGACCAUCUUAUGCCCCACCUCCCACCCCAGCUCCUGCAACAUAAUAUACACUUCUUUCAUGCCUUUGAUACUUCAACUGUGUUUUGCCUACUUAAAUAUGCUUUAUUUGCGUCUUUUCUAACUGUAUAGACUAGAAAUUGAUCAGCCGUUCUCUUUUCUCCUAAAGAGUAUCAAAUGUAAUAUCUGCUUAAAUGUCUUUCUUUUGGGUACUAAGGAUAUGUGCAGCGGCAUGUUUUAGGAAAUUGUGUUUAUUUUGUAACAGCUACAGCUUAGUUGGAAUGUGUUAAGUGUAUUUUACAUUAUACAAUUAAGGACCGAUAUUGUUAAUUGCAUGUAAAAAUGAAAUUGUCACAUAUUUUGAUUGAAUUUUACAAGGUAAAAUACCCUAAUUUUG